RNAcentral lists this ribosomal RNA (497 nucleotides) under uncultured bacterium. Its description in RNAcentral is "partial 16S ribosomal RNA". It matches the Rfam family "Bacterial small subunit ribosomal RNA", at positions 28 to 507 of the family's 1533-position model. The record is from RNAcentral.
GAUGAACGCUGGCGGCGUGCCUAAUACAUGCAAGUCGAGCGAACGGACGAGAAGCUUGCUUCUCUGAUGUUAGCGGCGGACGGGUGAGUCACACGUGGAUAACCUACCUAUAAGACUGGGAUAACUUCGGGAAACCGGAGCUAAUACCGGAAGAUAUUUUGAACCUCAUGGUUCAAAAGUGAAAGACGGUCUUGCUGUCACUUAUAGAUGGAUCCGCGCUGCAUUAGCUACUUGGUAAGGUAAAGGCUUACCAAGGCAACGAUGGAUAGCCGACCUGAGAGCGUCGUCGGCCAGACGGGAACUGAGACACGGUCCAGACUCCGACGGUAGGAAGCAGUAGGGAAUCUUACGCAAUGGGGGAGAGCCUGACCGAGCGACGCCGGGUGAGGGAUGACGGUCUUCGGAUCGUAGAACUCUGUUAUUAGGGAAGAACAAAUAUGUAAGUAACUGUGCACAUCUUGACGGUACCUAAUCAGAAAGCCACGGCUAACUACGUG